UUCAUCGGCUGCGGAUGGCCAUGCGGCGCAUUAGCUAGUCGGCGGGGUAACGGCCCACCGAGGCGACGAUGCGUAGGGGUUCUGAGAGGAAGGUCCCCCACACUGGUACUGAGACACGGACCAGACUCCUACGGGAGGCAGCAGUGAGGAAUAUUGGUCAAUGGCCGGGAGGCUGAACCAGCCAAGUCGCGUGAGGGAAGACGGCCCUACGGGUUGUAAACCUCUUUUGUCAGGGAGCAAGAGGCGGGUCGAGACCUGCUGUGAGAGUACCUGAAGAAAAAGCAUCGGCUAACUCCGUGCCAGCAGCCGCGGUAAUACGGAGGAUGCGAGCGUUAUCCGGAUUUAUUGGGUUUAAAGGGUGCGCAGGCGGAGGCACAAGUCAGCGGUAAAAUCGCGGGGCUCAACCCCGCUCCGCCGUUGAAACUGUGUCCCUUGAGUGCGCGAAGGGUAGGCGGAAUGCGUGGUGUAGCGGUGAAAUGCAUAGAUAUCACGCAGAACUCCGAUCGCGAAGGCAGCCUACCGGCGCGCAACUGACGCUCAUGCACGAAAGCGUGGGUAUCGAACAGGAUUAGAUACCCUGGUAGUCCACGCAGUAAACGAUGAAUGCUAUCUGUCCGGCCGGAAUGACGGCUGG
This 634-nucleotide ribosomal RNA is filed under the name uncultured bacterium. RNAcentral describes it as "bacterial SSU rRNA". It matches the Rfam family "Bacterial small subunit ribosomal RNA", at positions 211 to 842 of the family's 1533-position model. The record is from RNAcentral.